This 408-nucleotide transfer-messenger RNA is filed under the name Alphaproteobacteria bacterium. It matches the Rfam family "Alphaproteobacteria transfer-messenger RNA". From Rfam's summary of the family: Bacterial tmRNA, also known as 10Sa RNA or SsrA, is named for its dual tRNA and mRNA-like properties. The record is from RNAcentral. Lineage: Bacteria; Pseudomonadati; Pseudomonadota; Alphaproteobacteria.
AUUGUUUGAAUUUUUUGUAAAAUCUCUUAUAAUGGAUAUGUUGGCUUGCCAACUAUGAUACUAAACGUUGGUGCGGAAUAAACGUUGUGGACCCGGGGGCGGUACCCGGCGGCUCCACCACUUGAGACGGAAAUAAGAUAUUUGUCUCAUGCGGCGGGGCCGAAAUAGGAUCGACACGCGCAGUAAAGGCAUUCUUGCGGUAUCCGGCAUUGUAUCCGCCGUUAUCGGGCUAAAUUCAUAAAUGCAAACGAUAACUUUGCGUUCGUAGCCGCUAACGACAACUCUGUUGUUGAAGGUGAAGGUCGUAUCGCUGCUUAAUUUUAGCAGUAGCGACGCUACAAUUGAUUCUUGAUUAAUUAACGUUGGUUAAGUGGGGUCUGCCGGUACCUAGCAACAGAAACCGGCAUU